This 403-nucleotide ribosomal RNA is filed under the name uncultured bacterium. RNAcentral describes it as "partial 16S ribosomal RNA". It matches the Rfam family "Bacterial small subunit ribosomal RNA", at positions 28 to 526 of the family's 1533-position model. The record is from RNAcentral.
GACGAACGCUGGCGGCGUGCCUAAUACAUGCAAGUCGAACGCAGUGGGGACGGGUGAGUAACACGUGGGUAACCUCCCAUCAGAGGGGAUAACACUUGGAAACAGGUGCUAAACCGAUACUGAUGGAUGGACCCGCGGUGCAUUAGCUCGUUGGUGAGGUAACGGCUCACCAAGGCCCAGAUGCAUAGCCGUCCGUGUAGGUGGAUCGGCCACACUGGAACUGAGACACGGCCCAGACUCCUAUGGGAGGCAGCAGUAGGGAAUCUUCGGCAAUGGACGAAAGUCUGACCGAGCAACGCCGCGUGAGUGAAGAAGGUUUUCGGAUCGUAAAACUCUGUUGUUAGAGAAGCGGUAGCUAACCAGAAAGCCACGGCUAACUACGUGCCAGCAGCCGCGGUAAUAC